AGUGAACGCUGGCGGUAGGCCUAACACAUGCAAGUCGAACGGCAGCACAGUAAGAGCUUGCUCUUACGGGUGGCGAGUGGCGGACGGGUGAGGAAUACAUCGGAAUCUACUUUUUCGUGGGGGAUAACGUAGGGAAACUUACGCUAAUACCGCAUACGACCUACGGGUGAAAGCAGGGGAUCUUCGGACCUUGCGCGAUUGAAUGAGCCGAUGUCGGAUUAGCUAGUUGGCGGGGUAAAGGCCCACCAAGGCGACGAUCCGUAGCUGGUCUGAGAGGAUGAUCAGCAACACUGGAACUGAGACACGGUCCAGACUCCUACGGGAGGCAGCAGUGGGGAAUAUUGGACAAGGGGCGCAAGCCUGAUCCAGCCAUACCGCGUGGGUGAAGAAGGCCUUCGGGUUGUAAAGCCCUUUUGUUGGGAAAGAAAAGCAGCAGGUUAAUACCCCGCUGUUCUGACGGUACCCGAAGAAUAAGCACCGGCUAACUUCGU
RNAcentral lists this ribosomal RNA (491 nucleotides) under uncultured bacterium. RNAcentral describes it as "partial 16S ribosomal RNA". It matches the Rfam family "Bacterial small subunit ribosomal RNA", at positions 29 to 506 of the family's 1533-position model. The record is from RNAcentral.